This 871-nucleotide long non-coding RNA is filed under the name Meleagris gallopavo (turkey). Its description in RNAcentral is "lncRNA (ENSMGAG00000019236.1)". Lineage: Eukaryota; Metazoa; Chordata; Aves; Galliformes; Phasianidae. The record is from RNAcentral.
GGCCAGGCUGUGUUUCCUUGCACUUGUAGGCCAUGCUUAUAGACAGCUGGUGUGCUGGAGCUGCUUAAGCUGUGCCUACUUGAUUUGUGUGUGAGCGAGAGGUCACGUACCAGAGGUACUCCUCAAAGGAAGUGGUGUGAAUAACUCACUGCAUCCAGAGAUUCUCUGAGGUGGGGCUGUAGGUGUGUGUUUAGGUUGUCCUGUCUGCUUCCUAGCUAAAUCAGGCCUGCCAGCUGUCUUGUGCAAACAGGCAAGAGUCAAUUUUCUGGCCCGUGCUGGUUUUUCUCUGUAUCUGUCUGUGUUGCAUUGGUGAUGUCAGUAAGCACAAGCUGGAAAUGGCAUACAGAUUGUUUUAAUUUGCACCAAGGACAAACUUUGCCUCUAUGAAUAAGAAAGCAUUUUUGAAAACAUCCUACCUCUACUGAACUGACUGCUCCUAGUUUCCAGUUCUACAGUAUGUUGUCAGCAGGAUCAGAGCUGGGCCUACAAGCACUCUGCUCUGCCCCAGGCCAUGCUGCUGGCAUGAUGCAGGACACGGAGCUGUGCUGGAGAGCCUGAGCAGCCCCAGUGAGCGUACCAGAGGCUACUGAAGGAAGAAAGUGGAAUUCUGGGCAGUUCAGAGCUGUUGAGGAGAACCUCGCAAUGCUCAACAAUUCCCGAGCAGCCUGCUGUAAAUCUUGUAGCCAGUUCAGCUUUCAGAGGGAGCCAGAAGAGAUUUGUAGAGUUUGGCAGUAGUGUCGUUCCUGAGGAAGACUGGAGAAAGAAAACUCAGAAUCACGGCUAUGAACAGCUCUUUAGAAAUGAAUGGCUAACUCGAGGAAGUCUUGCAGUGAGCAAAUCUUUGCUUGAAAUAGUUUGGGACCAAGUGUAA